This 301-nucleotide ribosomal RNA is filed under the name uncultured bacterium. Its description in RNAcentral is "partial 16S ribosomal RNA". It matches the Rfam family "Bacterial small subunit ribosomal RNA", at positions 509 to 808 of the family's 1533-position model. The record is from RNAcentral.
CAGCAGCCGCGGUAAUACAGAGGGUGCGAGCGUUAAUCGGAUUUACUGGGCGUAAAGCGUGCGUAGGCGGCUUCUUAAGUCGGAUGUGAAAUCCCUGAGCUUAACUUAGGAAUUGCAUUCGAUACUGGGAAGCUAGAGUAUGGGAGAGGAUGGUAGAAUUCCAGGUGUAGCGGUGAAAUGCGUAGAGAUCUGGAGGAAUACCGAUGGCGAAGGCAGCCAUCUGGCCUAAUACUGACGCUGAGGUACGAAAGCAUGGGGAGCAAACAGGAUUAGAUACCCCGGUAGUCCCUGUCUCUAUACC